AAUCAACGCUGGCGGCGUGCCUCAGACAUGCAAGUCGAACGCGAAAGUCCCCUUCGGGGGACAAGUAGAGUGGCGCACGGGUGAGUAACACGUAGGUAAUCCACCUUCGGAUGGGGAAGUAACAACCGGAAACGGGUUGCUAAUACCGCAUAAUGCAGCGGCACCUAAUGGUGACAGUUGUUAAAGCGGGGGAUCGAAAGACCUCGCGUCUGAAGAGGAGCCUGCGGCGGAUUAGCAGUUUGGUAAGGUAACGGCUUACCAAGGCGACGAUCCGUAGCCGGCCUGAG
RNAcentral lists this ribosomal RNA (287 nucleotides) under uncultured bacterium. RNAcentral's name for it is "partial 16S ribosomal RNA". It matches the Rfam family "Bacterial small subunit ribosomal RNA", at positions 32 to 296 of the family's 1533-position model. The record is from RNAcentral.